Molecule: ribosomal RNA, 468 nt
Filed under: uncultured bacterium
Lineage: Bacteria
Description: partial 16S ribosomal RNA
Rfam family: Bacterial small subunit ribosomal RNA
Source: RNAcentral
GACGAACGCUGGCGGCGUGCUUAACACAUGCAAGUCGAACGGAAAGGCCCUGCUUUUGUGGGGUUCUCGAGUGGCGAACGGGUGAGUAACACGUGAGUAACCUGCCCUUGACUUUGGGAUAACUUCACGAAACUGGGGCUAAUACCGGAUAGGAGCUCCUGCAGCAUGGUGGGGGUUGGAAAGUUUCGGCGGUUGGGGAUGGACUCGCGGCUUAUCAGCUUGUUGGUGGGGUAGUGGUUGACCAAGGCUUUGACGGGUAGCCGGCCUGGGAGGGUGACCGGCGACAAGGGGCCUACGAGAGGGCCCAGUCUCCAACGGGAGGCAGCAGGGGGAAAUAUUGCGCAAUAGGCGGAAGUCUGAUGCGAAGGCGCCGCGUUCGUGAUGACGGCCUUCGGGUUGUAAACCGCUUUCGCAUGUGACGAAGCGUGAGUGACGGUACUGGGUAAAGAAGCACCGGCUAACUACGUG